GAAUGUGAGGGCAACCUGGCUGCAACAUCUGUCACCCCUUCCAUCAUCAGGGUUGAUUUGGCUGAUCCGGCUGGCUAGGCAGAUGUUCCCUUCCUCCCUCACUGCUACAUGUGUGUCCCUCCCGAAGCUGCGUGCUGGUCGAAGAGGACGACCUUCCCCAAUAGAGGAGGACCAUUCUUCAGUCAAGGGUGUACAAGUAGCUGUGCUCCUCUGCUAGAAUCUCCAAACAAACUCUCAGGAUGGUAGAUUUUAUUUAUUAAAGAAAUCUAUUCUGCUUUUGGGAAAAUGGAAUUAGGUAUCUAAAUGAACAGGUUCUGUCUCUCUUU
Molecule: small nuclear RNA, 326 nt
Filed under: Propithecus coquereli (Coquerel's sifaka)
Lineage: Eukaryota; Metazoa; Chordata; Mammalia; Primates; Indriidae
Description: 7SK RNA (ENSPCOG00000011743.1)
Rfam family: 7SK RNA
About the family: 7SK was discovered as an abundant small nuclear RNA in the mid-70s but a possible function has only recently been suggested. Two independent studies have found that 7SK RNA binds the CDK9/cyclin T complex (known as elongation factor P-TEFb).
Source: Rfam by way of RNAcentral